Molecule: transfer RNA, 71 nt
Filed under: Luvarus imperialis (luvar)
Lineage: Eukaryota; Metazoa; Chordata; Actinopteri; Acanthuriformes; Luvaridae
Description: tRNA-Gln
Rfam family: tRNA
About the family: Transfer RNA (tRNA) molecules are approximately 80 nucleotides in length. Their secondary structure includes four short double-helical elements and three loops (D, anti-codon, and T loops). Further hydrogen bonds mediate the characteristic L-shaped molecular structure. tRNAs have two regions of fundamental functional importance: the anti-codon, which is responsible for specific mRNA codon recognition, and the 3' end, to which the tRNAs corresponding amino acid is attached (by aminoacyl-tRNA synthetases). tRNAs cope with the degeneracy of the genetic code in two manners: having more than one tRNA (with a specific anti-codon) for a particular amino acid; and 'wobble' base-pairing, i.e. permitting non-standard base-pairing at the 3rd anti-codon position.
Source: RNAcentral
UAGGAAGUGGUGUAGUGGAAGCACUGAGAGUUUUGGUCUCUCCAGUAAGGGUUCAAGUCCUUUCUUUCUAA